This 153-nucleotide ribosomal RNA is filed under the name uncultured Cantharellaceae. RNAcentral's name for it is "5.8S ribosomal RNA". It matches the Rfam family "5.8S ribosomal RNA". From Rfam's summary of the family: 5.8S ribosomal RNA (5.8S rRNA) is a component of the large subunit of the eukaryotic ribosome. Lineage: Eukaryota; Fungi; Basidiomycota; Agaricomycetes; Cantharellales; Hydnaceae. The record is from RNAcentral.
AACUUUUAACAACGGAUCUCUUGGCUCUCGCAUCGAUGAAGAACGCAGCGAAAUGCGAUAAGUAAUGUGAAUUGCAGAAUUCAGUGAAUCAUCGAAUCUUUGAACGCACCUUGCGCUCUCUGGUAUUCCGGAGAGUACGCCUGUUCGAGUGUC